Molecule: non-coding RNA, 73 nt
Organism: Pseudohyphozyma bogoriensis
Lineage: Eukaryota; Fungi; Basidiomycota; Microbotryomycetes; Chrysozymaceae
Source: the annotation of a GenBank genome assembly
GGGUGUUUAGCUCAGUGGUAGAGCGUUGAGCUUUUAACUCAAAUGUCGAGGGUUCGAUACCCCCACACACCUA